CCCCCGUUAGCUCAGCAGGUCAGAGCAUCCGGCUCAUAACCGGGAAGUCCUGGGUUCGAUUCCCCGACGGGGGACCA
This 77-nucleotide transfer RNA is filed under the name Oscillibacter sp. RNAcentral's name for it is "tRNA-Ile". It matches the Rfam family "tRNA". From Rfam's summary of the family: Transfer RNA (tRNA) molecules are approximately 80 nucleotides in length. The record is from RNAcentral. RNAcentral also lists the same sequence under 2 other names. Lineage: Bacteria; Bacillati; Bacillota; Clostridia; Eubacteriales; Oscillospiraceae.